ACGGGGGAUAUCCUGCUUAUUGCCAGCGAGUAGGAAGUUUCUGCCGUUAGGGAUUAUGUGCCGUUUCCUCGCCUAGAAGCUUUCGGCUUGUCCCCUCCCACUCUUGAAAAAGCAGCGACUCCACAAACUAGAAAACGGUGCGAACUAAAUACCUGCCUCUCUGACCACCAGCCUCAGCCUUUCAGCCCUGCUCGUCUGCGCUUGUGCGAUUGCUGGGAGGAGGCAGCCGCGUUCCGUCCGCUUUUGUGUGGUUGUACAGAAGUGCUGCGGUUGGGAGGAGGAGGAGGAGGUGGAGGGGAACAGCUGCUCCCCACACAGAAGCCGGUUUCCCAGCCUGAGAGGCAGCCAGUGCCGGGGCUGUUUUCCCGGGGGCCCUCGGGUUGGUUCGCCAGCUCCGCAGCUCUGGCUUGAAGGGAGAUUUUUAUGGCGGCGGCAAAACACAAAAUUGACCAGAACAAGUAGGAUUCUUUCCUUCACAAGGCCAGGCACUCGUGUUCUUUAAAUCAGGAGCAGAUAUGGAUACAUCUCCACUGAAACUCGACCAGGUUUCUCUCAGCCGAUGGGACUCCAGUGGACCCCGCGGCUGCUCUGAGCGUCUUCCUCCAGUCAGAGCUUUUAACCCGUCGGAUGGCGGUUAGCGGUGGCCGCAGGUGCUCCCGUUACCUGCAUGAAAAGCUGCGUGAGCACCCCAGCAAUCCUCAAGCACUCUCUCUCACACACACACAACCCAGACAUCUUUUUGUUCUUCAACAUACAGUGAGCUCUGGCAGAGAUAUAAACCUGUCUGGAUCCUAAUAUGCACUCUCUCUCUCACACAAAAAAACAAUCCCUGUUGUGAAUGACUGUGCAAAAUAACACAGAUUUACAGAUUUAAUACAGACUUCUUUUUAGGUGCAGAUGUUAUUUUCAGCUUGCAGUGUGUAGAAAUGAAGCAGUGUGUGUGUGUAUAAGUUUGCAGUAGCAGUUUCAGCAGGUGAGUCUGACACACAAAUACACUCCCGCAUUAAAGGAAGUGGAGAAGAGACAGAUCCUUUGACCUUCUGCUUUCACACACUGUCCAGUGACACACACACACACACACGAACACUCACACGCUCAGACCACAGCUGCCCAUUAGUCUGGUAAUCUCUUGUAUAUUUGUAUUUUAAAAUGCUGUAAAUGUUUAAGACUGUCUAAUAAAUUGUUUAUA
This is a long non-coding RNA of Sinocyclocheilus grahami, 1189 nucleotides long. RefSeq lists it as uncharacterized. The transcript is spliced from 4 exons. Lineage: Eukaryota; Metazoa; Chordata; Actinopteri; Cypriniformes; Cyprinidae. The record is from RefSeq and is a predicted model, not a curated record.